This 497-nucleotide ribosomal RNA is filed under the name uncultured bacterium. RNAcentral describes it as "partial 16S ribosomal RNA". It matches the Rfam family "Bacterial small subunit ribosomal RNA", at positions 28 to 507 of the family's 1533-position model. The record is from RNAcentral.
GAUGAACGCUGGCGGCGUGCCUAAUACAUGCAAGUCGAGCGAACGGACGAGAAGCUUGCUUCUCUGAUGUUAGCGGCGGACGGGUGAGUAACACGUGGAUAACCUACCUAUAAGACUGGGAUAACUUCGGGAAACCGGAGCUAAUACCGGAUAAUAUUUUGAACCGCAUGGUUCAAAAGUAAAAGACGGUCUUGCUGUCACUUAUAGAUGGAUCCGCGCUGCAUUAGCUAGUUGGUAAGGUAACGGCUUACCAAGGCAACGAUGCAUAGCCGACCUGAGAGGGUGGUCGGCCACACUGGAACUGAGACACGGUCCAGACUCCUACGGGAGGCAGCAGUAGGGAAUCUUCCGCAAUGGGCGAAAGCCUGACGGAGCAACGCCGCGUGAGUGAUGAAGGUCUUCGGAUCGUAAAACUCUGUUAUUAGGGAAGAACAUAUGUGUAAGUAACUGUGCACAUCUUGACGGUACCUAAUCAGAAAGCCACGGCUAACUACGUG